AAGAGGACAUGGAAAAUCUCUUCGUCAUGUUUUUGGUAUGAAUUAUUUAUUUAUUUGUCAUUUUUUCCAUAUGUCAUUUUUUUGUUUUUAUGUAGUGCUACUUCUCAUUUGAAGACAUUCAAUUGACUCGUUAAUGUUUUGAUAAUUAUAUUCAAUUGAAUUAUAAAGCGAGACAAGAGGCAAAAAAGUUAGCCAAAGUUGACAAACUCACCAGAUCUUAUGCUCGAUUUCCACCCAUAUACCUUUCUGCGGAAGUAUGGAGUGAUAUGGUAGAUAGUAGGUUAAAAGAAGAUUGGCAAAAAAGAUCUGAAAAAGCAACAGAAAAUUGAAAAACCAAUCCAGAUUACAUGCCAUACACUAGUGGAUCUUGUUCAGUUGCGGCCACUCAUCAAAGAAUGGUAAAAAAAGAAUUCUUUCAUAUAAUUGUGUAUGAGAAUCAGAAUGAAGAAGCUGGUCAUGAGGUUGGUCACUGUGAGGUUUACAAACGAUUGGGCUUAUCCAAAAGGAGGAUGCUUCAUUGUAAGAAAAUUUGUUAGAAAUGCUUCGUUGUAAGUAUUUUAACAAAUUUAAGUCAUAUUAUUUAUUUUCAUUUUUAUAGGCUGACUAUCAUGAGCUUCAUAUUUUCUUUGUAAUCUCAAUAUCAUUUAUUUAAUUUUUUUUUCCAUUAGGGUGAGUCGAGCCAAGGAUUUAACAACAUAGUCACGCCAAUUACAAGAGAUUCGAAUGUUCAAAAUGUUGGCAACAAUACGACUAAUAGCGUGACUGAUACAAACAAAUAGGUUUCUCUUUUUAUAUAUUUGGUUUGGUAUUGUAUUGAAUGGUAUGUUGGCAAUAGGUUUGGUAUUGUAUUGAAUGGUAUGUUGGUAGUAUGUUGACACCAAUAUUACUUCUGAAUUUUUGUAUUGAAUGGUAU
Molecule: long non-coding RNA, 913 nt
Filed under: Zostera marina
Lineage: Eukaryota; Viridiplantae; Streptophyta; Magnoliopsida; Alismatales; Zosteraceae
Description: long non-coding RNA (ZMAR_LNC003018)
Source: RNAcentral